This is a non-coding RNA of Punica granatum (pomegranate), 2118 nucleotides long. The record is from RefSeq and is a predicted model, not a curated record. Lineage: Eukaryota; Viridiplantae; Streptophyta; Magnoliopsida; Myrtales; Lythraceae.
ACUUUUUACUCGUCACCUCCUUCUUGUGACUUUGAGAAACGGAGCUGUCAAGCUUGGGAGAACGAUGGAAUAUGCGAUGAAGCCAACAAAGUCGGAUUUUGAGGAAUCCUUCCUCUUUUUCACAGUUGUUUCUUCCAUCUUCUUCAACCUCCUCUCAGUGAGGAAUUCGCUCCCGGGUCAUCGGUGUACUGCGUCUGGACAAGGAGAAGCCGAGAAGAGACAGAAGGAGAAGAUGAAGCUCAAUCCGUAAAAAAUUUUACGAUGCUCGAAGGAGAAGAUGAAGCUCGGCCUCCAGUCAGCAGAAGUCACUGAUAAGUGAUGACUAAAACUGAAGAGUAAAGAUGAAGAAGUAGGGUUUCAAUUUUAGCAUUUCAACCUUCAGAAUCGUCGAUCGUCAAUCGUCAAUCUGACUAGAGUUUCAUCUGGAUGAAGGGGAAGUUCAUUUUCGGGUUCGAGUUGGGGGAUUUCCUUUAAAAAUUUGAACCCAUGAAACUGACCGGUUAGAAUGGGUUCGAUGGGUUUAUCUAAAAAUCGUCCGAUUUUAUGGAUUUAUCGGUCUAUUUGUGCAUUUUUGGUUUUUUAGUUAACCGGAUUGGACAUAGGUUUGAUUUUCGGUCCGACCGGUCGAACUGUUUGGUCUGAUUCGGUUAUGAUAAUAUUGGUAUAACUCAUGCUGGACAAGGGUUUGGAUUUUCUCUUUCGCUAGAAACAAAAACCCUCGCUUAAGCCAUUGCGAUGACCCAUCCAGCCCCGACUGGAAGCGUUCGGUGGCCUUUCCUCAUCCCUUCCCUUGUAGUUAGCUUUCUUCCUCCCCUACUCCAAGACCGAUAGGAGUGACUUCGGUGCUCCUCCCACCUCUGAUUCCAUCUUGGUAGGUCAUCCCCAACCGUCUCCGCUUGUUGUCUCUGUCGAACUUCCAUGCUACCGAGCAUCUUAAUGUCGCUGCAAGCUCCGGUUUGUAGCCCCCGAUGCCUCCCUGCCGUGAUCUGUUGCUAUUCCGCCAUUCCCACCGAUGGUCCUAAGCUACUGCGACUUCCUUCCUCCCCUUUCCACUGCAAGACUCCAAUUAGAUAGUACUCAUUCUGACUAGAAAUAGUCGGAUCUUGCUCAAAUCAGCCAAAUUUAAGCAUAUCGAGCACGAUAUGACCAUUUACAAUCGGCUCUUGCUCGAUCUGACUAGAUGGAACACGAUCUAGCCAAAGUAGCGUGGCAAAUCCGAUUAGACUUGUCAGUUAGUUGGGUCGGUUUGGAUUAGUAGGAAAGAGUCAGGUCGGAUCAGCGAGUAUGGGUUAGGAGGGACAUUCGAGUCGUGUCGGGCUAUCGGGAUAGAGGAAGCUAGGUCUAUUUAUAUUGGAGCUAUACUACAGUGUCCCGAUAGUGAUAAGGGCCUUCACCCUCCUCCUCUUGGUAUUUGGAGGAUGUGUGUAGUGGCGGCCUCCCCUAUUUAUCGGGACCACACACAAUCCCUCUCUAGCAGCUCAGAUUCCGGACAGCUCGAAUGGUACUCGGGUUUAUUAUGCUUCGACGGCGGCAGUGUAGCGGCUAUGAAGAUAUAUGCUUGUCUUGAUGGUGUCAACUUAGUGGAAGCGCUCUCCUCCACGCCCCUCCAGCCCAGCCUCUAUCUUCGCCCCGCGUGUCAACAAUAGUAUCCCGGCCCAUCACGAUUAUGAUCGCCAUUUCAGUUGGUUUCGGCUCCCCCAUGCCAGUCUCUGGUUUGAACUGAUAAAAAAAGCUUCGAUUCUUUGAUUUGACUGUUUGUCUGAUUGGGUUGAUUGUAUCUGAUUUGAACCGAUGUAGGAAUCCUUAAUGCUUUGCUUUGGAUUCUUUGAUUUGACAAUUUAUUUGAUUGGUUUAAUUAUCGUUGGUUUGAAUAGAUUUAGGAAUCCUUGCCGCUUUGGUUUGAUUGUCCAGGGAUUGGGCUAUUCAUUGUGAUCUGUGAAGGAUUCCUGCACCAAAUACCGAAUCAAGACCCCUUUUGCCUUUGCUUCUUUGUUUCACAUAGCAGUAUUUUUAUGUGGAUUGCAUCUGGUUCUGCUUCUGAACAUCGACUGGAUUUAUAUGGAGUUUAGUUGUAAGAGGUUGUGAAUAUAUAUACGACAACUAGAAAGAUUUCUCUAA